This 977-nucleotide long non-coding RNA is filed under the name Fukomys damarensis (Damara mole-rat). Its description in RNAcentral is "lncRNA (ENSFDAG00000023001.1)". The record is from RNAcentral. Lineage: Eukaryota; Metazoa; Chordata; Mammalia; Rodentia; Bathyergidae.
CAUACCACAGGCCAUCAUCGGGAGGGAAGGACCGGAGCAGCCCCGGGGAGUACACCAGUGUGUGUCAGGUGCACCACAUGGCCAGGGUUUUCCAGUCGGGCGCUGCUGAGCAUGUGAGCCAUCUGCAUGUGACUGAAGCUUAGAAACACGGUGCCCAUUUCUCCAUGCCCGCCAUGCCUGGAGGGCGGAGGGCUGUGGAAUCUGUGCAUCUGCAGCAUCUGAGGAAAAACUGCAGGCCCCAUUCACAGUUUUCCUUCAAGAGCUUAGCAUCCAAGACCACGGAGAUGCAACUCAGAGUGGAAGUCACCACAGUGCCAGGCACCAGUGGGCACCAGCAGCGUGGUGCAGACCUGCCCAGUCACACAAAAGGACAGACGCAGGACCCUUGGUUCUGCAUCUCUCACUUCCUGGAGGAUUCUGCCAGCUGAUCUAACUGUGAGAACAUAAAUAUUUCACUUCUAAGAGAGCUUUUCAUGAAAGAUCUGCCCAUCAGGCUAGCUGGGGAUCAAGAAAGGAAAUUCUCCCCAGUCACAGACAGGCCUGCAGGUGGCUGGUGCUUACUUCCUAGCUAGGAAGUUUGUUUGGCAGAACUCGAAAGUGGGAAAAAUCCAAGUCAGACUAUCUCGCGGUAACAGAUCACCUGUCAAUCUGGCCCACAGGAAAAGGCACCCGGAGGACCUGCAUUACGGAAUAGCCUUAUGUGAAAAAGACACAGUGGAGGUGGCAGUUUUGGAAGAAGAUGUACCAGCAACUAGGGCCACAUGGAUGGCAGCAAGCAAGACGGGAGGGGCACAGCCCUGCUCACCCUCUAUCCCAAGAGGAACAAGGUCUCUCCCAAGGAAUAAACCCUCUCUUUCCAUCAGAAAACCUGAGCCAUCCAUCCUCUGCUGGUGAGACCCCUUCUGGGCAGCAGCCUGGAGUCUGAAUCUCUCACACAAACUAGCAUUUGCAGGACAGGCGCUGUGCUUUGCAGAGAG